RNAcentral lists this transfer RNA (71 nucleotides) under Ovis aries (sheep). It matches the Rfam family "tRNA". Rfam says of the family: Transfer RNA (tRNA) molecules are approximately 80 nucleotides in length. Their secondary structure includes four short double-helical elements and three loops (D, anti-codon, and T loops). Lineage: Eukaryota; Metazoa; Chordata; Mammalia; Artiodactyla; Bovidae. The record is from Rfam by way of RNAcentral.
UCCCUGAUAGCACAGUUGGUAGAGCUCUGCCUGCAAUGCAGGAGACCCAGGUUCAAUUCCUGACUUGGGAA